RNAcentral lists this ribosomal RNA (305 nucleotides) under uncultured bacterium. RNAcentral describes it as "bacterial SSU rRNA". It matches the Rfam family "Bacterial small subunit ribosomal RNA", at positions 335 to 654 of the family's 1533-position model. The record is from RNAcentral.
GGGCCUACGGGGCGCAGCAGUGGGGGAUAUUGGACAAUGGGGGGAACCCUGAUCCAGCGACGCCGCGUGAGUGAAGAAGUAUUUCGGUAUGUAAAGCUCUGUCAGCAGGGAAGAAAGAAAUGACGGUACCUGACCAAGAAGCCCCGGCUAACUACGUGCCAGCAGCCGCGGUAAUACGUAGGGGGCAAGCGUUAUCCGGAAUUACUGGGUGUAAAGGGAGCGUAGACGGUUAAGUAAGUCUGGAGUGAAAACCCGGGGCUCAACCCUGGGAGUGCUUUUGAAACUGUGCGGCUAGAGUGGCGGAG